UACGAAGGGGGCUAGCGUUGCUCGGAAUGACUGGGCGUAAAGGGCGCGUAGGCGGAUGGUACAGUCAGAUGUGAAAUUCCCGGGCUUAACCUGGGGGCUGCAUUUGAUACGUGCGAUCUGGAGUGAGGAAGAGGGUCGUGGAAUUCCCAGUGUAGAGGUGAAAUUCGUAGAUAUUGGGAAGAACACCGGUGGCGAAGGCGGCGAGCUGGUCCAUUACUGACGCUGAGGCGCGACAGCGUGGGGAGCAAACAGG
Molecule: ribosomal RNA, 253 nt
Filed under: uncultured bacterium
Lineage: Bacteria
Description: partial 16S ribosomal RNA
Rfam family: Bacterial small subunit ribosomal RNA
Source: RNAcentral